RNAcentral lists this ribosomal RNA (349 nucleotides) under uncultured eukaryote. RNAcentral's name for it is "bacterial SSU rRNA". It matches the Rfam family "Eukaryotic small subunit ribosomal RNA", at positions 592 to 934 of the family's 1831-position model. The record is from RNAcentral.
CAAUAGCGUAUAUUAAAGUUGUUGCGGUUAAAAAGCUCGUAGUUGGAUUUCUGUCGAAGACGGCCGGUCCGCUCUAUGAGCGUGUAUCUGGUUCGGCUUUGGCAUCCUCGUGGGGAACGUAACUGUGCUUGAUUGCAUGGUACGGUAUUCACGACUUUUACUUUGAGGAAAUUAGAGUGUUCACGGCAGGCAAGCGCCUUGAAUACAUUAGCAUGGAAUAAUAAUAUAGGACUUUGGUUUUAUUUUUGUUUGGUUUCUUAGAACUAAAGUAAAUAGAUUAAUAGGGAUAAUUAGGGGGUCGAUUUGUUAUUAACGACGUCAGAGGUGGAAGUUCUUGGAUUGCGUUACG